RNAcentral lists this ribosomal RNA (274 nucleotides) under uncultured bacterium. RNAcentral's name for it is "partial 16S ribosomal RNA". It matches the Rfam family "Bacterial small subunit ribosomal RNA", at positions 523 to 796 of the family's 1533-position model. The record is from RNAcentral.
AUACGGAGGGUGCAAGCGUUGUUCGGAAUUACUGGGCGUAAAGCGCGUGUAGGCGGCUUGGCAAGUCGGAUGUGAAAUCCCGGGGCUCAACCCCGGAACUGCAUCCGAAACUGCCUAGCUAGAGUCCCGGAGAGGAAGGCAGAAUUCCCGGUGUAGGGGUGAAAUCCGUAGAUAUCGGGAGGAAUACCAGUGGCGAAGGCGGCCUUCCGGACGGUGACUGACGCUGAGACGCGAAAGCGUGGGGAGCAAACAGGAUUAGAAACCCCGGUAGUCC